AUGUCUACGUGUCUCAUGGAUAUGAUUAGUGCCAACGGGAUUGAUUUUAUUGGGUUACAAGAGACUAUGAAAGGGACAUAUAAGCCAUCCUUUUUUAGGAAGCUUGACCUGAGACAGAAGUUUCAUUGGGAAUGGAUCCCUUCUAGGGGAAAGUCUGGAGGGAUUCUUUGUGGGAUUAGUAGAGAUAACUUUGAUAUACUUACAACUAGGCAUGGUAAAUAUAUCUUGCAGUUAGAUCUGUUUGAUAAGAUCAAAAACUGUAGUUGGUCUUUGAUGAUUGUAUAUGGUGCUGCUCAUGAUGAUCAUAAACCUGAAUUCAUCGCAGAGCUGUCUUAUAUGUGCCAUAAUACUAACAUGCCAUAUCUGGUUGGGGGGGGGGGACUUUAA
This 387-nucleotide ribosomal RNA is filed under the name Triticum aestivum (bread wheat). RNAcentral's name for it is "partial small subunit ribosomal RNA". Lineage: Eukaryota; Viridiplantae; Streptophyta; Magnoliopsida; Poales; Poaceae. The record is from RNAcentral.